Long non-coding RNA from Limanda limanda (common dab), 375 nucleotides. RefSeq lists it as uncharacterized. Lineage: Eukaryota; Metazoa; Chordata; Actinopteri; Pleuronectiformes; Pleuronectidae. The record is from RefSeq and is a predicted model, not a curated record. The transcript is spliced from 3 exons.
AGAGCUCAGGCUCCUCCUCUCGCUGCCUCUCCGGCUCCACCGGCUCCGACAGCGGCUGCGUCUCCUCCCACCUGCAGGAGGCGCUGCCCGAGGAGCUGGGCCUCCCGGGCCAGCCCCCCCCCAUCUCCUCCAACAAGCAGCACCUGAGCAGCCAGUACAUUUCAUCAAAAGCUGCCGCUGUCAUCGGCCCGGCAACCGUGGUGUGACGCCGCUCAGCCGCAGCAGCGACCUGUUUGUGUUCUUCCUGCUGCCGUUUGACCGUCACUGAUCAAGUUUGAAUGUUUUAUUUAUGUUUGAAGCUUCAGUCGUUUGUUCUGUAAAUACGACGUAAGAUUUUCAGUUUGUGAGCUGAUCCCGGGUCUGAGUGAGUGUGUG